RNAcentral lists this ribosomal RNA (477 nucleotides) under uncultured bacterium. Its description in RNAcentral is "partial 16S ribosomal RNA". It matches the Rfam family "Bacterial small subunit ribosomal RNA", at positions 28 to 507 of the family's 1533-position model. The record is from RNAcentral.
GAUGAACGCUGGCGGCGUGCCUAACACAUGCAAGUCGAACGAAGCGCCUUACCGGAUUCUUCGGCUGAAGGUCUGGUGACUGAGUGGCGGACGGGUGAGUAACGCGUGGGUAACCUGCCCUGUACAGGGGGAUAACAGCUGGAAACGGCUGCUAAUACCGCAUAAGCGCACGAGGAGACAUCUCCUUGUGUGAAAAACUCCGGUGGUACAGGAUGGGCCCGCGUCUGAUUAGCUGGUUGGCAGGGUAACGGCCUACCAAGGCAACGAUCAGUAGCCGGUCUGAGAGGAUGAACGGCCACAUUGGAACUGAGACACGGUCCAAACUCCUACGGGAGGCAGCAGUGGGGAAUAUUGCACAAUGGGGGAAAGCCUGAUGCAGCAACGCCGCGUGAGUGAAGAAGUAUUUCGGUAUGUAAAGCUCUAUCAGCAGGGAAGAUAAUGACGGUACCUGACUAAGAAGCUCCGGCUAAAUACGUG